AAUAGAUACCCUGGUAGUCCACGCCCUAAACGAUGCGUACUCGGUGUAGGUGCUUCAUUGCAUCUGUGCCGAAGUUAACACGAUAAGUACGCCGCCUGGGGAGUACGGUCGCAAGGCUGAAACUCGAAAGGAAUUGACGGGGGCCCGCACAAGCGGUGGAGCAUGUGGUUUAAUUCGACGCAACGCGAAGAACCUUACCUGGGCUUGAACUGUUUGGGCUAUUUCCAGAAACGGAGAGUUCCCUUCGGGGUACCCAAGCAGAGGUGCUGCAUGGCUGUCGUCAGCUCGUGUCGUGAGAUGUUGGGUUAAGUCCCGCAACGAGCGCAACCCUCGUCCUGUGUUGCCAUUUUGGGACUCACAGGAGACCGCCAGCGAUAAGUUGGAGGAAGGUGGGGACGACGUCAAGUCAUCAUGGCCUUUAUGUCCAGGGCUACACACGUGCUACAAUGGGCGGUACAACGGGUCGCGAAGCCGCGAGGCGGAGCUAAUCCCUAAAACCGGUCCUCAGUUCGGAUUGCAGGCUGCAACUCG
This 531-nucleotide ribosomal RNA is filed under the name uncultured bacterium. RNAcentral's name for it is "bacterial SSU rRNA". It matches the Rfam family "Bacterial small subunit ribosomal RNA", at positions 777 to 1314 of the family's 1533-position model. The record is from RNAcentral.